RNAcentral lists this ribosomal RNA (406 nucleotides) under uncultured bacterium. Its description in RNAcentral is "partial 16S ribosomal RNA". It matches the Rfam family "Bacterial small subunit ribosomal RNA", at positions 30 to 526 of the family's 1533-position model. The record is from RNAcentral.
AUUGAACGCUGGCGGCAGGCCUAACACAUGCAAGUCGAGCGAGCGGCGGACGGGUGAGUAAUGUAUGGGGAUCUGCCUGAUGGCGGGGGAUAACUACUGGAAACGGUAGCUAAUACCGCAUACCAUCAGAUGUGCCCAUAUGGGAUUAGCUAGUAGGUAAGGUAACGGCUUACCUAGGCGACGAUCCCUAGCUGGUCUGAGAGGAUGAUCAGCCACACUGGAACUGAGACACGGCCCAGACUCCUACGGGAGGCAGCAGUGGGGAAUAUUGCACAAUGGGCGCAAGCCUGAUGCAGCCAUGCCGCGUGUAUGAAGAAGGCCUUCGGGUUGUAAAGCACUUUCAGCCGGGAGGCGUUACCGACAGAAGAAGCACCGGCUAACUCCGUGCCAGCCGCCGCGGUAAUAC